AACAGAUAGCAAUAUAAAGACAACACUACAUGGCUAGCAAGCUACAUAGAACACUUGGCAGUAAAUUAAGGGAGAAGGCAAAGCACCAGAAAAAGAAACAAAAUGCUUUUGCAGCAGUUACCGAUAAGACAUGGGUCAAACAAAAUCAAAUACAGUAAGAAUAUCGGCAUUCAAAUAAUUCUUUAGAUGCCAUAAAGUGCCUUAUUAGGAGAAAAGUAAAGCUGAUAGGCUUAAAUAACAAAAGAAAAAGAAAGAAUGUGAAAAUGUG
This 268-nucleotide unclassified non-coding RNA is filed under the name Hevea brasiliensis (rubber tree). The record is from RNAcentral. Lineage: Eukaryota; Viridiplantae; Streptophyta; Magnoliopsida; Malpighiales; Euphorbiaceae.